GAUGAACGCUGGCGGCGUGCCUAACACAUGCAAGUCGAGCGAACGGAUGAGAAGUUUGCUUGUAUGAUGUUGUCGCCGGACGGGUCCUUCACACGGGGUUAACCUAACUAUCAGACUGGGAUACCUACAGGAGACCGGAUCUACUACCCGAUAAUAUUUCGCACUGGAUGGUUCAUACGUGAAAGACGGUCUUUCUGACACUAAUAGCUUGAUCCGGGUUGCAUUAGUUAGUUGGUAAGGUAGCGGCUUACCAAGGCUAGGAUGCAUAGCCGACCUGAGAGGGUGAUCGGCCAGAUGGGAACUGAGACACGGCCCAGACUCCUACGGGAGGAAGCAGUCGGGAAUCUUACGCAAGGGGGGAAAGCGUGACAGAGCAACGCCGCGUGAGGGAUGAUGGACUUCGGAUGGGAAAGUUCUGUAAGUAGGGAGGUAGAUAAGUGUAAGUAACUGUGCUGAUCAUGACGGUACCGAAAGAAUAAGCUACGGCUAACUACGUG
RNAcentral lists this ribosomal RNA (497 nucleotides) under uncultured bacterium. RNAcentral describes it as "partial 16S ribosomal RNA". It matches the Rfam family "Bacterial small subunit ribosomal RNA", at positions 28 to 507 of the family's 1533-position model. The record is from RNAcentral.